AACGAACGCUGGCGGCGUGCCUAAUACAUGCAAGUCGAACGCAGUGGGGACGGGUGAGUAACAAGUGGGUAACCUCCCAUCAGAGGGGAUAAAACGUGGAAACAGGUGCUAAACCGAUACUGAUGGAUGGACCAGCGGUGCAUUAGCUAGUUGGUGAAGUAACGGCUCACCAAGGCCACGAUGCAUAGCCGAUCUGAGAGGGUGAUCGGCCAGACUGGAACUGAGACACGGCCCAGACUCCUACGUGAGGCAUCAGUAGGGAAUCUUCGGCAAUGGACGAAAGUCUGACGUAGCAAUGCCGCGUGUGUGAAGAAGGUUUUCGGAUCGUAAAGCUCUUUUGGUAGAGAGGCUUUAUCUAACCAGAAAGCCACGGCUAACUACGUGCCAGCAGCCGCGGUAAUUC
Molecule: ribosomal RNA, 403 nt
Filed under: uncultured bacterium
Lineage: Bacteria
Description: partial 16S ribosomal RNA
Rfam family: Bacterial small subunit ribosomal RNA
Source: RNAcentral